Molecule: unclassified non-coding RNA, 272 nt
Filed under: uncultured fungus
Lineage: Eukaryota; Fungi
Description: partial contains small subunit ribosomal RNA, internal transcribed spacer 1, and 5.8S ribosomal RNA
Rfam family: Eukaryotic small subunit ribosomal RNA (bases 1-73)
Source: RNAcentral
CCAAACUUGGUCAUUUAGAGGAAGUAAAAGUCGUAACAAGGUCUCCGUUGGUGAACCAGCGGAGGGAUCAUUACAGAGUUACCAAACUCCAAAACCCUUUGUGAACCUUACCACUGUUUCCUCGGCGAGGUAUUCAGGCCCUCAGCGGCCGAGAACCCGCCGAAGGACCACUAAACUCGUGUUUGUUUAGCGUAUCUGAAUGCUUCUAAAACAAAUAAGUUAAAACUUUCAACAACGGAUCUCUUGGUUCUGGCAUCGAUGAAGAACGCAGC